UGCAGUCGAGGGGCAGCGCGGUAGCAAUACUGGCGGCGACCGGCAAACGGGUGCGGAACACGUACGCAACCUUCCUCUAAGCGGGAGAUAGCCCGGAGAAAUCCGGAUUAAUACCCCAUAGGAUUGUGGAUUGGCAUCAAUCAGCAAUUAAAGAUUUAUCACUUAGAGAUGGGCGUGCGUCUGAUUAGGUAGUUGGUGAGGUAACGGCUCACCAAGCCGACGAUCAGUAACUGGCGUGAGAGCGCGACCAGUCACACGGGCACUGAGACACGGGCCCGACUCCUACGGGAGGCAGCAGUAAGGAAUAUUGGUCAAUGGACGCAAGUCUGAACCAGCCAUGCCGCGUGGAGGAUGAAGGUCCUCUGGAUUGUAAACUUCUUUUAUCUGGGAAGAAAUGCUUUUUUUCUAAAGAGCUUGACGGUACCAGAUGAAUAAGCACCGGCUAACUCCGUGCCAGCAGCCGCGGUAAUACGGAGGGUGCAAGCGUUAUCCGGAUUCACUGGGUUUAAAGGGUGCGUAGGCGGAUUAGAAAGUCCGUUGUGAAAUCUCUGAGCUUAACUCGGAAAUUGCGGUGGAUACUAUUAGUCUUGAAUACUGUGGAGGUUAGCGGAAUAUGUCAUGUAGCGGUGAAAUGCAUAGAUAUGACAUAGAACACCAAUUGCGAAGGCAGCUGGCUACACAGAUAUUGACGCUGAGGCACGAAAGCGUGGGGAUCAAACAGGAUUAGAUACCCUGGUAGUCCACGCCCUAAACGAUGAUUACUCGACAUUUGCGAUACACAGCAAGUGUCUGAGCGAAAGCAUUAAGUAAUCCACCUGGGAAGUACGACCGCAAGGUUGAAACUCAAAGG
This 850-nucleotide ribosomal RNA is filed under the name uncultured bacterium. RNAcentral's name for it is "bacterial SSU rRNA". It matches the Rfam family "Bacterial small subunit ribosomal RNA", at positions 56 to 907 of the family's 1533-position model. The record is from RNAcentral.